Molecule: transfer RNA, 84 nt
Filed under: Araneus ventricosus
Lineage: Eukaryota; Metazoa; Arthropoda; Arachnida; Araneae; Araneidae
Rfam family: tRNA
About the family: Transfer RNA (tRNA) molecules are approximately 80 nucleotides in length. Their secondary structure includes four short double-helical elements and three loops (D, anti-codon, and T loops).
Source: Rfam by way of RNAcentral
GUCAGGAUGUCCGAGCGGUCUAUGGCGCUGCGUUCAGGUCGCAGUCCACCCUUGUGGGCGUGGGUUCGAAUCCCACUUCUAACA